AUACGUAGGUGGCAAGCGUUGUCCGGAUUUAUUGGGCGUAAAGCGAGUGCAGGCGGUCUUUUAAGUCUGAUGUGAAAGCCUUCGGCUCAACCGAAGAAGUGCAUCGGAAACUGGGAAACUUGAGUGCAGAAGAGGACAGUGGAACUCCAUGUGUAGCGGUGAAAUGCGUAGAUAUAUGGAAGAACACCAGUGGCGAAGGCGGCUGUCUGGUCUGUAACUGACGCUGAGGCGCGAAAGCGUGGGGAGC
RNAcentral lists this ribosomal RNA (247 nucleotides) under uncultured bacterium. RNAcentral's name for it is "partial 16S ribosomal RNA". It matches the Rfam family "Bacterial small subunit ribosomal RNA", at positions 523 to 769 of the family's 1533-position model. The record is from RNAcentral.